GAGUAAACAUUUUUAUCUUACUUAAUUUUGGUAAUAUAUACCUUUUAGAUAACUUUCGGGUUAUAUAUAUGUUUCUUUUAGGUUACUUAAUUUUUAUAAUGAAUUAUUGCCUACAUCGGAAUGUUUGAAAAAUGCAGAUUGACCAAAGAUUAUGACAAUUGAUUUAAGAGAUCAAGAUGACACGGUAAUGUUUCGUUAGCAUUUUAUCUAUCAACAUAUAACUAAUUGGUCUUUUAUGAGAGAAUCAAUCAAGUGUUAUUUUUUGUUUGUAUGCUUCUUGAUGUGUGUUGGGACAUUGUCGUAAGUGAGCUAAUAUAGACUGUUAAACUCAUUGAAACCUAAUCAAGACACCAAAUAAGAUAUUCUAUUCUCAAGACUUGAUUGAAUUUAUGGAUCCAAUGAAACAUAACAAGAUAAGAAAAGGAAAAUACUAGUGAUAUACAUCGAAAUCUCACCAAUGGUUUCAAAUACAUUAUGGAGCAUGAAAUUCAACGAGGACUGACCAUUCAUAAGUUGUGCAAAAAUUUCAUGAUUGUUCAACCAAACAUGCAUUUAUCAAAGACUAUGUGAAGUUAAAUACUACUGAGGAU
This 590-nucleotide long non-coding RNA is filed under the name Brassica napus (rape). RNAcentral's name for it is "long non-coding RNA (BNAP_LNC008219)". The record is from RNAcentral. Lineage: Eukaryota; Viridiplantae; Streptophyta; Magnoliopsida; Brassicales; Brassicaceae.